CAUUAGAAGUAGAGCCAAAGUGUUAAAUUCCUUUUCUGUCCAGCACCCACAUUUCUCUGGGUUUUUCUGUUUUCAUCUGUGAGCUUAUUUGUUUUUUUUUUGGUAUUUCUAAGUGAAUCCUUGCUUGUGAUUAAUACCUAGCCUAUAGAAGUAUCUGGACCUAUGUUUAAUCUGCAGGUUUUUGAUAAAAAUUUUCAGUGUAAGUAGUGACAGCCAAAUAUCCCAUACUAACAGAAAACAAAUCCAUUAUUAUCCAAUGAUUAAAUAUUGUCACUUUACUAUUAUUUGAAGUAAUGAAUGCAGAGUUUUGUUCUCUUUUUUUGUUCUUUUUUUCCUACUCUUUUAACACAGUAGUUUUAAAUUGCCAUACUAUUUCUCUAAUUCUUUCUUCCUUCUUUCUACCCUCUUCUAAAAUCAGGUCAAUGGAAGAUGAGACAAAUGCGUUAUGAAUGUCAGAUAUUAAAAGGAAUUAAAUAAUUCUAACAAAGAAUUAAGUCAGGUGAUACAAGCGGCCAUACUAAUAAAACCUUCCUUUGGAGGCUUUGUGAUUCAUGUGAAUCUAUAUGCCACAUAAUUAGGAAUCCAUGUGAAUAGCAGCUAAGGUGGAUCAUCAAUAUCAAUAAAAUAUGAGACUUUCAAAGAUGUCUUGAAAAAAGAAGCAAUUGGUCAAAAUAUGUGGAGCAUGUACAGGUCAACAUUACACUGUAUGCAGUAUACUUUGUUCUUCUCUAUAAACACAUAAACUUAUUUUCAAGUCACAUUUUAGAACUAAGCUUCAGGAAUUAAUUUGGCAAAAGGAUAAUUUAGUUAGAACUCCAAAUGAGCAGUGAGUAUGUAAGGCAUGAGGCCAUAAAAUCAGUUGAUCAGCUGACAUACCUUUUGGCAUUUUAUGUAUGCAACUGAUUUUAGAAAUGUGAUUGCCAAAAUUCAAAUGCAAAAAUAUUUUGAAAAAUUAAAGCAUAAGUAAUGAAUCCAUCAGGUUAGAGGAUUUUUUUCUUUCUAGGAGUAAAAAUUCAUUAAUUAUAGGUAAAACAUAUUUACACUUGUGAAUAUAUAUUUACAUUUUUUUUCCUUACGAACAACUACUGCAUACUGGCAGACAUUUUGAACAUAUUUACUCUAUUGUUCUGUGCAAUAAGAAAUGAUUGUCAUAAGUACUUGAUACUAGAAAAAAAAUUAAAUCAUGUUAUUUAUAAAUAAGAAAUACAGUUUAGAAUGUUUCAAAUAUAAGAUUAAAACUAAUCUUUUUUCUAUAAACCUUGUAUUAAAAAGAAAAUUGAAUUAUUAUGUUAUUCCCAUAGAUUAUUUGAUAUUAUGUUUAUUCAUUAUGAUAUUAGUAUAUAGAGAUAAAUAAAAUAGUAAACAAUGAAUAUUGAGUGACCAUACAAUACUAAGUAAAAAAAGUAGAAGGUAAGACAUUUUAUUUUUGAAAGAAAUUUUUGUAAUUUUAUUCUACUAUCCACUAAGCUACUCAAAUAUAUACUUAAGAGUUUAAAUAUAAUUUAGGGAGUUCCCAUUGUGGCUCUGGGGGUUAAGAACCAAACAUAGUCUCUAUGAGGAUGUGGGUUUGAUCUCUGGUCUCACUCAGUGGGUAAGUAUCCGGUAUUGCUGUGGCUGUAGUGUAUGUUAGCAACUGCAGAUCUGAUUUGACCCCUGGCCUGGGAACUUCCAAAUGCUGCUGGGUGGCCACAAAAAGGAAAAUAACUUAGAUAAAUGAAAUAAAAAGUACAAACCAUCUUCCUCUAUAUGUUUCUGGCACAUAUAAAAAUAUAUGGGCUUUAUAUAAAAUAUGCUCUUGCAACUAAAAAUUUAGGAUCCACUGGACAUGCUUAGGAAAAUACAAUGUACUUUACACACAAUUUACUUGAGAGCAAAUGUUCAUAAUAGUGAUUGAAAUAAUUUGAUAAUUCUGAUUUCAAAAUUGUUAAAUGUUACUACACUUAUUUCUCAUUUAUAUAGUGCAGAAACAUUUAAAUGGAACCUCUAAUUAUGAUUACCUCCCUUAGACUAUGGUCAGAUUAAUUAAUUUGUUUUCAGUUUGUAUUGAAUUAAAACAGGAAAUGACUGUUUAAUAUACUGCAGGCACUAGUUUAGUAAUCAUGGGCUUGGGAAGUGAGAGAUAAGGGCAGCACAGAUCAAAGAAGCCGUGGUUAGGUUUUGCACAUCUGGGUCUGGAUCACCAUCCUCCCCUGCUCUCACAUUCACGAUGCACAGUUGAGCAUGUCGAAGCUUGUUAGGAUAGUUUUGGACCUGAAGCAGUUUAUAAACAAAAGUAAAAUGCCAUCAGCAUCAGUCCUGUGACUGGGACACAGCCACAAUGUGAUUAUAUGGUCAAGAUGGGCUGAGUCAUAGGACACAAGACCAUGCUCCAUCAGUGUGAUGUCUCCCUCACUAGUCAGCAUCCAGGUCCAUGGAAAACCCUGGUCAGGUUCCAAGAGGAGGGUAGGUUGGUUCAUUGGGUAGCAGAGUAUUGAGGGAAUUCUUAUCUGAUGGCCUUUUCAUUUUCCUGUGAAGGAAGAGCUGGCAAAGACUGAAGGAAAGAGAUGCCCAAAUUAAUAGUUAAGACAUUGGAGGAGUCAUUGCAAGGCAGGCCUGGGAUCAUGAACAUGAUUAGAAACACAGAGAUAUUAACUCACCAGUCUACACUGCUGGUCCACCCCCCCCCCCCCGCUUACUCCAGCCUGCACCAAUACCAUUAGUAAUAAUUAUAAUCAGUGCAGAAUGGCAGUUUUGCUGGAUAAAUGAAAUGAAGAGCAAAAGGCCAGAAUGAUUUAAGUGUUAAUCUGUGCAUAGAAAAGGAAGGGAAAAUAAGAAGGGAGAUACGGAAAACAAGGUAGAAGAGGGAUCAAAAGAACAAAGUCAAACUGAGAUAAAAUAAGAAACAUAUUAAAGACAACAGAGUCCCAGUGUUGGAAGUUUGUGAUCAAAUGCUAUAAAAACCAUUUGGUUGGCUUGGUUGAUUAUUUUAGAGAUAAAGGGAUUCCAAAGACUGUUGAGCUCCACUGAUGUCAGUCCAAGUAUUUGAGAUCAACCUGAUGGGAAAUUUCCUUUUGGCUUAGACCUGCAGAUGAUUUUCACUUGCGUCUCUAGAUCUCAUCCGUACUGAACACCUCACACCACUCUUAACUGACCACAUGAUAGCAUAGAAGGUGAAGACAUCUGGACUCUGUUACUGCUGGAGUCUGCUAAGAAAUCUAAAUCAUACCCAAAGCAAAUUUGGUAUAAAGAUAACUCUGACACCAUCCUAUGUUAACUACCCUGAAUAUCAUUUGCAUAGUAGUAGAAGGCUUAUAUUCUUACAUUUAUGCAACUAUAAAUGGAGAAAAUACUGUAUGAUUGAAAUUCAGACAUGAGGACAAUAUUGGUUUCCUUUGUGUUAUCCAUGGCUAUGCUUUUGUGAUACUGUCCAUCCAACAAUUAAGGCCUCUAAGGAAUUCUAGGUUUCAGAAUAAUACCGUUCCGAGUUGGCAAGCAAACAGCAUGAAUGCUACCUAAUUUAUAACUGCAUUUUCCCAGCUGUGUAGAGAAUUAACGGAAGAAUUCUUCUUGACAUACUGUCUCAAGCAGUCACUAUCAAUUCGUCAGGAUUUGUACUUCAGAAGCAAGCUACUUGACAUUUCUAGUCUUUUCCUUAGAAAACCCAGAAGGAUUCUACAUAAUUGCCUUUGGUUCUAGUAACAUAGGCAAAUGCUCAAGGACAAGUACAUCUAAAGGGACAGGGAUGAUUUGGUUUGAUGACGUUCACAGGCACACUAGGCCUCCUGAAAUCCAAUCCAUUCAAGACAGGUUCCCAAAGAGACUUCUAAAGCCAGAGUGAACCCACACGAUCUUAUUCUCCACAAAGGGCCUUUGUGGUUCUUGAAUUCAUCUUGCUAAAAGUGCACUGAAUCUGCUCUCUCUCAUGGCUAUGUCUCUUCCCCCCAUAUUUGAUAUAAAACAGCAUAUAUUUAUCAUAUCUUGGUUGGCUAGUUGUCUUAAGAAAUAUGAAAGCAUUCUACAAAUAUAUGUAAGAAGUCUAUAUGUGCUUUCUUAUAUUCUCAUGUGCUUUCUUAUAUUCUAAAAAUAAAUACAAUUAGUGUUAUUCCUGUAUGUUAAUUUCAACAUGUAAAGUUGAGGAAUUUCUAAUACACAAAGAAGAAAAUCAGGGUUCCCAUCAUGGUUCAGUGGUAACAAAGCUGACUAAUAUCCAUGAGGACGUGAUUUUGAUCCCUGGCCCCACUCAGUAGGUUAAGGAUCCUGUGUUGCCAUGAGCUGCAGUGUAGGUCACAGUUGUGGCUCAGAUCUGGCAUUGCUGUGGCUGUGGCAUAGGCUGGCAGCAGCAGCUCUGAUUUGACCCCUAGCCUGGGAACUUCCAUGUGCUGCAGGUGUGGCCUU
This 4374-nucleotide long non-coding RNA is filed under the name Sus scrofa (pig). RNAcentral describes it as "lncRNA (ENSSSCG00000056255.1)". Lineage: Eukaryota; Metazoa; Chordata; Mammalia; Artiodactyla; Suidae. The record is from RNAcentral.